CUACGGGGGGCACCAGUGAGGAAUAUUGCACAAUGGGGGGAACCCUGAUGCAGCAACGCCGCGUGGAGGAUGACGCAUUUCGGUGUGUAAACUCCUUUUAUAUGUCAAGAAAAUGACGGUAGCAUAUGAAUAAGCACCGGCUAACUCCGUGCCAGCAGCCGCGGUAAUACGGAGGGUGCAAGCGUUACUCGGAAUCACUGGGCGUAAAGGACGCGUAGGCGGGGUGGAAAGUCAGGGGUGAAAUCCUACAGCUUAACUGUAGAACUGCACUUGAAACUUCUAAUCUAGAGUAUGGGAGGGGGAGAUGGAAUUAGUGGUGUAGGGGUAAAAUCCGUAGAUAUCACUAGGAAUACCUAAAGCGAAGGCGAUCUCCUGGAACAUUACUGACGCUAAGGCGUGAAAGCGUGGGGAGCAAACAGGAUUAGAUACCCCUGUAGUC
Molecule: ribosomal RNA, 439 nt
Filed under: uncultured bacterium
Lineage: Bacteria
Description: partial 16S ribosomal RNA
Rfam family: Bacterial small subunit ribosomal RNA
Source: RNAcentral